This 366-nucleotide ribosomal RNA is filed under the name uncultured bacterium. Its description in RNAcentral is "bacterial SSU rRNA". It matches the Rfam family "Bacterial small subunit ribosomal RNA", at positions 28 to 395 of the family's 1533-position model. The record is from RNAcentral.
GAUGAACGCUAGCGGCAGGCCUAACACAUGCAAGUCGAGGGGCAGCACGUCUUCGGAUGGUGGCGACCGGCGCACGGGUGCGUAACGCGUAUGCAACCUACCUCUUACAGUGGGAUAGCCCAGAGAAAUUUGGAUUAAUACCGCAUAGUAUACAGAUUCAGCAUUGGGACUGUAUUAAACAUUUAUGGGUAAGAGAUGGGCAUGCGUUCUAUUAGUUAGUUGGAGUGGUAACGGCACCCCAAGACAGCGAUAGAUAGGGCCCUGAGAGGGGAUCCCCCACACUGGUACUGAGACACGGACCAGACUCCGUACGGGAGCAGCAGUGAGGAAUAUUGGACAAGUGGGCGAGAGCCUGACUCCAGCCAU